GACGAACGCUGGCGGCGUGCUUAACACAUGCAAGUCGAACGGAAAGGCCCUGCUUUUGUGGGGUGCUCGAGUGGCGAACGGGUGAGUAACACGUGAGUAACCUGCCCUUGACUUUGGGAUAACUUCAGGAAACUGGGGCUAAUACCGGAUAGGAGCUCCUGCUGCAUGGUGGGGGUUGGAAAGUUUCGGCGGUUGGGGAUGGACUCGCGGCUUAUCAGCUUGUUGGUGGGGUAGUGGCUUACCAAGGCUUUGACGGGUAGCCGGCCUGAGAGGGUGACCGGCCACAUUGGGACUGAGAUACGGCCCAGACUGCUACGGGAGGCAGCAGUGGGGAACAUUGCACAAUGGGCGGAAGGCUGAUGCAGCAACGCCGCGUGCGGGAUGACGGCCUUCGGGUUGUAAACCGCGUUCGCCUGUGACGAAGCGUGAGUGACGGUAAUGGGUAAAGAAGCACCGGCUAACUACGUG
RNAcentral lists this ribosomal RNA (468 nucleotides) under uncultured bacterium. RNAcentral describes it as "partial 16S ribosomal RNA". It matches the Rfam family "Bacterial small subunit ribosomal RNA", at positions 28 to 507 of the family's 1533-position model. The record is from RNAcentral.